GCCUUACUUGUGUUGCUCAUUUAUCUCUCUUUUUAUAAAUGAUUCUGAUGUAACCGUUGAGUACGUGGUCCCGCUUUUUAUGGUGCUAAAUUAUCGGACCAUAAUCGUGGAGUUAGUGGACUGUUUAUUCUCAUUAAUGGUCGUGACACGUAGUCGAUAAUCGUUUAUAACGGUUAGAGUGUAUUGAGCAGAUAGACCGACUAUAUGUCGGUAAUACUGAUAAGUCGGUAGUAGACUCGAAUGAGCAUCAGUUGGUAACUCUGAUAUACCAAUGGUCCUCGAUCGAAAGUUAAUCAAAUUGUUAGUUGAUGGUUGAUAGUAGUCGACUGUAGGUCGGUUCACCAAUCGUAAGUCAGCGUAAUGUGUUCAUGCGGUCAAUGUACAAUCAGAGUCAG
This 395-nucleotide long non-coding RNA is filed under the name Elaeis guineensis (African oil palm). Its description in RNAcentral is "long non-coding RNA (EGUI_LNC017217)". Lineage: Eukaryota; Viridiplantae; Streptophyta; Magnoliopsida; Arecales; Arecaceae. The record is from RNAcentral.